UUUUGGGGGGGGAUGAAGAAAAUUAGAAAGAAAAUCUCUAGGUCUUACUUCUAAUUUUAGGUUGAAAGAAGAACAAUUAAGGAGAAAAGAUGAGUUGGGAAUAGUAUUCAAUAAGACUCAAGAAGAAGAAAAAGGUAGUUGGCAAGACCAGAUCAGCUUUCUUGCCAGAGACACCAAAGUGGUUUGCCAUUUUCUUCUCCAGCUCAUUUGACAGAUGAAGAAACUGAGGCUGACAAGGUUAAGUGACUUGCCCUGGGUCUGUGUAAGUUCCUGAGACUGGAUUUUAACUCAGGAAUAUGAAUCUUUCUGACUCCACUCCAUUAAGGAUGGUACCAAGGGGUAAAUCGAACACCAAUGGAAAGAAAUUGGAAGGAGAGGGACAAAGGGCUAAGAGCUUAGUUUCUUCUCCAG
Molecule: long non-coding RNA, 411 nt
Filed under: Monodelphis domestica (gray short-tailed opossum)
Lineage: Eukaryota; Metazoa; Chordata; Mammalia; Didelphimorphia; Didelphidae
Description: lncRNA (ENSMODG00000032870.2)
Source: RNAcentral